This 543-nucleotide long non-coding RNA is filed under the name Brassica napus (rape). RNAcentral's name for it is "long non-coding RNA (BNAP_LNC017103)". The record is from RNAcentral. Lineage: Eukaryota; Viridiplantae; Streptophyta; Magnoliopsida; Brassicales; Brassicaceae.
CUUUGAUAUUUUAAUAAUUUAUAAAAUUAUUAUUUUGAAAAAAAAGUAUAGCAACAACUUUUAUAUUGCAAAGAUGAAUAUUUGUUGUAUGACUGUUUGUCUUACCACGUCUAGUUGUAGAGUUUUUUUUUUAGAAAUUUGCUAAUAAAGAACAAAAAAACUUAUUAAUUGUCCCCUUAGAAUAGUAUUAGGGAUUUUUGUCCACUUAGAACUAAUGUUAAGGUAAACCCAAUUUUAACCCUCUAAUUAUACAAUUUUUUUUUUAAAAAAAAAACUAAUUUUCAUAGUCCCAUUUACUCAUUAUUUACCCGACUUCAAAAACACGGUUUACCCGUCGCAGAGUUUUCAAGUAUUCUCGCCGGCGUAUCUUCGUUCGUCACCUCCACCUCUCUCUUAAUGACCCACCCGGAAAACUCUGAUAAAUCCUCUCUCUGGCAUCUCUUGAAUAUCUAGUUUCAUCUUUUGUGAGUUUAAAGGUGAAUUUUCGUUAUUUGGUUGUUUGCCUUUGUACAGAGAAAUCGCACGGAUGAUCUGAUGAACAAA